AGAGUUUGAUCAUGGCUCAGAAUCAACGCUGGCGGCGUGCCUCAGACAUGCAAGUCGAACGCGAAAGUCUCCUUCGGGGGAUGAGUAGAGUGGCGCACGGGUGAGUAACACAUAGGUAAUCUACCUUCGGGUGGGGAAUAACCCAGGGAAACUUGGGCUAACACCGCAUAAUGCAGCGGCACCACAUGGUGACAGUUGUUAAAGCGGGGGAUUUUCGGACCUCGCGCCUGAAGAGGAGCCUGCGGCAGAUUAGCUUGUUGGUAAGGUAACGGCUUACCAAGGCGACGAUCUGUAGCCGGCCUGAGAGGGCGGUCGGCCACACUGACACUGACAUACGGGUCAGACUCCUACGGGAGGCAGCAGUCGGGAAUUUUGGGCAAUGGGCGAAAGCCUGACCCAGCAACGCCGCGUGAAGGAUGAAAUCCCUCGGGAUGUAAACUUCGCAAGAGUGGGAAGAAUUAGUAGGGGUUAAUACCCCCUAUGAUGACGGUACCAUUUGUAAGCUCCGGCUAACUCCGUGCCAGCAGCCGCGGUAAUACGGGGGGAGCAAGCGUUGUUCGGAUUUACUGGGCGUAAAGGGCGCGUAGGCGGCCAGCACAAGUCAGUUGUGAAAUCUCCGGGCUUAACUCGGAAAGGUCAACUGAUACUGUGCGGCUAGAGUGCGGAAGGGGCAACUGGAAUUCUCGGUGUAGCGGUGAAAUGCGUAGAUAUCGAGAGGAACACCUGCGGCGAAGGCGGGUUGCUGGGCCGACACUGACGCUGAUGCGCGAAAGCCAGGGGAGCGAACGGGAUUAGAUACCCUAGUAGUCC
This 810-nucleotide ribosomal RNA is filed under the name uncultured bacterium. RNAcentral describes it as "bacterial SSU rRNA". It matches the Rfam family "Bacterial small subunit ribosomal RNA", at positions 8 to 796 of the family's 1533-position model. The record is from RNAcentral.